Molecule: ribosomal RNA, 467 nt
Filed under: uncultured bacterium
Lineage: Bacteria
Description: partial 16S ribosomal RNA
Rfam family: Bacterial small subunit ribosomal RNA
Source: RNAcentral
GACGAACGCUGGCGGCGUGCUUAACACAUGCAAGUCGAACGGAAAGGCCCUGCUUUUGUGGGGUGCUCGAGUGGCGAACGGGUGAGUAACACGUGAGUAACCUGCCCUUGACUUUGGGAUAACUUCAGGAAACUGGGGCUAAUACCGGAUAGGAGCUCCUGCUGCAUGGUGGGGGUUGGAAAGUUUCGGCGGUUGGGGAUGGACUCGCGGCUUAUCAGCUUGUUGGUGGGGUAGAGGCUUACCAAGGCUUUGACGGGUAGCCGGCCUGAGAGGGUGACCGGCCACAUUGGGACUGAGAUACGGCCCAGACUCCUACGGGAGGCAGCAGUGGGGAAUAUUGCACAAUGGGCGGAAGCCUGAUGCAGCAACGCCGCGUGCGGGAUGACGGCCUUCGGGCUGUAAACCGCUUUCGCCUGUGACGAAGCGUGAGUGACGGUAAUGGGUAAGAAGCACCGGCUAACUACGUG